RNAcentral lists this ribosomal RNA (914 nucleotides) under Syrphidae sp. Syrph_H1. Its description in RNAcentral is "SSU rRNA". It matches the Rfam family "Eukaryotic small subunit ribosomal RNA", at positions 21 to 862 of the family's 1831-position model. Lineage: Eukaryota; Metazoa; Arthropoda; Insecta; Diptera; Syrphidae. The record is from RNAcentral.
AGUUAUAUGCUUGUCUCAAAGAUUAAGCCAUGCAUGUCUAAGUACACACGAAUUAAAAGUGAAACCGCAAAAGGCUCAUUAUAUCAGUUAUGGUUCAUUAGAUCGUUAACAGUUACUUGGAUAACUGUGGUAAUUCUAGAGCUAAUACAUGCAAUAUAAACACGGACCUUUUGGAACGUGUGCUUUUAUUAGGCUAAAACCAAGCGAUUUUCUUGAAAAUUGUUUAUAUGGUUGAACUCUAGAUAAUUUGCCGAUCGUAUGGUCUUGAACCGACGACAGAUCUUUCAAAUGUCUGCCCUAUCAACUAUUGAUGGUAGUAUCUAGGACUACCAUGGUUGCAACGGGUAACGGGGAAUCAGGGUUCGAUUCCGGAGAGGGAGCCUGAGAAACGGCUACCACAUCUAAGGAAGGCAGCAGGCGCGUAAAUUACCCACUCCCAGUACGGGGAGGUAGUGACGAAAAAUAACAAUACAGGACUCAUAUCCGAGGCCCUGUAAUUGGAAUGAGUACACUUUAAAUCCUUUAACAAGGACUAUUAGAGGGCAAGUCUGGUGCCAGCAGCCGCGGUAAUUCCAGCUCUAAUAGCGUAUAUUAAAGUUGUUGCGGUUAAAACGUUCGUAGUUGAAUUUGUGCUUCAUACGGGUAGUACAAACUAUAAUUGUGGACUGUACAUUACCUUAUGUAUGCAAGCGUAUUACCGGUGGAGUUCUUAUAUAUACUGGUGCUUUGUAUCUUUAUGUAUUCCUCCUAUUUAAACCUACUUCAGUGCUCUUUAUCGAGUGUUGUUGUGGGCCGGUACAAUUACUUUGAACAAAUUAGAGUGCUUAAAGCAGGCUCCAAAUGCCUGAAUAUUUUGUGCAUGGAAUAAUGAAAUAAGACUCUCUGAUCUACUUUCAUUGGUUUUUAGAUCAAGA